RNAcentral lists this long non-coding RNA (230 nucleotides) under Capsicum annuum. RNAcentral's name for it is "long non-coding RNA (CANN_LNC016317)". Lineage: Eukaryota; Viridiplantae; Streptophyta; Magnoliopsida; Solanales; Solanaceae. The record is from RNAcentral.
AUCAUCAAAUAGUUAUCAUUUAUAAAAUAAUCCAUGCUAAAUAUAAAUAAUUCACAUAAGCUGGAAUGUCUGAAAUACUGAAAAUAAUAGUCAUGAAUAACAAAUCGUACUUUAUGAAUCUAGUGAGCCAUAACAUUUAGUUUAAAAAGUUGUACGCGUAUCUCCAUUUUUAAACCAUUUGGUCUAAGUGUAGAAGGACUCACUACUGAAUCUGAAAUCUGAAAGCUAAA